RNAcentral lists this ribosomal RNA (1248 nucleotides) under Triticum aestivum (bread wheat). RNAcentral describes it as "partial small subunit ribosomal RNA". Lineage: Eukaryota; Viridiplantae; Streptophyta; Magnoliopsida; Poales; Poaceae. The record is from RNAcentral.
AUGGAGUCGCUGACUCUGCGCGCCUCGCCGUCGUCGACCGCCUCGCCGCUGCUCCGCCUGCCCGGCCGGCGGCGCGCGGCGUCCGUCCGCGUCUCCGCCUCCGGCGCCGGCGAGCCGGACCUGUCCGUGACCGUGAACGGGCUGAAGAUGCCCAACCCGUUCGUGAUCGGCUCCGGCCCCCCCGGCACCAACUACACCGUCAUGAAGCGCGCCUUCGACGAGGGCUGGGGCGGCGUCAUCGCCAAGACCGUGUCCUUGGAUGCUGGAAAAGUUAUCAAUGUAACUCCUCGCUAUGCUCGGCUCAGGGCAGAUCCUAAUGGAUCUACCAAGAGUCCUAUCAUUGGAUGGCAGAACAUUGAACUUAUCAGUGAUCGACCUCUCGAGACAAUGCUUAACGAGUUCAAGCAACUGAAGAAGGAAUACCCUGAUAGGAUACUCAUUGGCUCAAUAAUGGAGGAAUACAACAAAGCAGCAUGGCAUGAGCUUAUUGAACGUGUUGAGGAAUCUGGAGUGGAUGCUCUUGAGAUAAAUUUCUCAUGCCCACAUGGCAUGCCUGAGCGAAAAAUGGGUGCCGCUGUUGGACAGGACUGUGCCUUGUUAGAGGAGGUUUCUGGUUGGAUAAAUGAGAAGGCCACCGUGCCUGUUUGGUCUAAGAUGACUCCUAACAUUACAGAUAUUACACAGCCUUCAAGGAUUGCUCUUAAGUCAGGUUCUGAAGGAAUUGCCGCUAUCAACACAAUUAUGAGUGUGAUGGGAAUUGAUCUCAAAACUUUGCGCCCAGAACCUUGUGUGGAGGGGUACUCCACACCUGGAGGAUAUUCUGCGAGAGCUGUGCACCCUAUAGCACUUGCGAAAGUCAUGCAGAUAGCAAGACUGAUCAAAGAGGAAUUUCCUGAAGGUCGAUCCCUCUCCGCCAUUGGCGGUGUUGAAACCGGCAAUGAUGCUGCUGAGUUUAUUCUACUUGGUGCAGAUACUGUACAGGUAUGCACAGGUGUAAUGAUGCAUGGUUAUGGCCUUGUGAAGAAGCUGUGUACAGAGUUGCAGGAUUUUAUGAGAAUGCACGACUUUACAUCAAUUGAAGAUUUCCGAGGGGCGUCUCUCCCCUACUUCACGACGCACACGGACCUGGUGCAGCGGCAGAAGGAGGCGAUCAAGCAGCGGAAGGCCAUCAGGAUGGGCCUGCAGUCGGACAAGGACUGGACCGGCGACGGGUUCGUCAAGGAGACCGAGAGCAUGGUCUCCAACUGA